UGGGAAUCUUCGGCAAUGGACGAAAGUCUGACCGAGCAACGCCGCGUGAGUGAAGAAGGUUUUCGGAUCGUAAAACUCUGUUGUUAGAGAAGAACAAGGACGUUAGUAACUGAACGUCCCCUGACGGUAUCUAACCAGAAAGCCACGGCUAACUACGUGCCAGCAGCCGCGGUAAUACGUAGGUGGCAAGCGUUGUCCGGAUUUAUUGGGCGUAAAGCGAGCGCAGGCGGUUUCUUAAGUCUGAUGUGAAAGCCCCCGGCUCAACCGGGGAGGGUCAUUGGAAACUGGGAGACUUGAGUGCAGAAGAGGAGAGUGGAAUUCCAUGUGUAGCGGUGAAAUGCGUAGAUAUAUGGAGGAACACCAGUGGCGAAGGCGGCUCUCUGGUCUGUAACUGACGCUGAGGCUCGAAAGCGUGGGGAGCAAACAGGAUUAGAUACCCUGGUAGUCCACGCCGUAAACGAUGAGUGCUAAGUGUUGGAGGGUUUCCGCCCUUCAGUGCUGCAGCAAACGCAUUAAGCACUCCGCCUGGGGAGUACGACCGCAAGGUUG
RNAcentral lists this ribosomal RNA (549 nucleotides) under bacterium EC18. Its description in RNAcentral is "bacterial SSU rRNA". It matches the Rfam family "Bacterial small subunit ribosomal RNA", at positions 356 to 896 of the family's 1533-position model. The record is from RNAcentral.